Molecule: ribosomal RNA, 439 nt
Filed under: uncultured bacterium
Lineage: Bacteria
Description: partial 16S ribosomal RNA
Rfam family: Bacterial small subunit ribosomal RNA
Source: RNAcentral
CCUACGGGCAGCAGCAGUAGGGAAUUUUGCGCAAUGGGCGAAAGCCUGACGCAGCAACGCCGCGUGAUCGAGACGCCCUUCGGGGUGUAAAGAUCUGUCAGUGGGGACGAAACUUGACGGUACCCACAGAGGAAGCACCGGCAAACUCCGUGACAGCAGCCGCGGUAAUAGGGGGGUUAAAGCGUUGGCCGGAAUCAUUGGGUGUAAAGAGUUAGUUAGCGGCACGUAAAGUCUGGUGUUAAAGGCAGAGGCUCAACUUCUGUACGGCACUGGAUAAUUGCGAGCUAGAAUGCGGUAGAGGUAAAGGGAAUGCCUGGUGUAGCGGUGAAAUGCUUAGAUAUCAGGAGGAACAUCGGUGGCGUAGGCGCUUUACUGGGCCGUAAUUGACGCUGAGGAACGAAAGCCAGGGUAGCAAAUGGGAUUAGAUACCCUUGUAGUC